AGUGAACGCUGGCGGCGUGCUUAACACAUGCAAGUCGAACGAGAACGGGUUAUAGCUUGCUAUAAUUGUCAGCUAAGUGGCGCACGGGUGAGUAAUGUAUAGGUAAUAUGCCUCUUACUAAGGGAUAACAAAUGGAAACGUUUGCUAAUACCUUAUACUCCUUAUUAACAUAAGUUAAUAAGGGAAAGAUUUAUUGGUAAGAGAUUAGCCUGUAUUGUAUCAGUUAGUUGGUGGGGUAAUGGCUUACCAAGACUAUGACACAUAACUGGUUUGAGAGGAUGAUCAGUCACACUGGAACUGAGACACGGUCCAGACUCCUACGGGAGGCAGCAGUGGGGAAUAUUGCACAAUGGACGAAAGUCUGAUGCAGCAACGCCGCGUGGAGGAUGACACAUUUCGGUGCGUAAACUCCUUUUAUAUGAGAGGAUAAUGACGGUAUUAUAUGAAUAAGCACCGGCUAACUCCGUACCAGCAGCCGCCGUAA
Molecule: ribosomal RNA, 484 nt
Filed under: uncultured bacterium
Lineage: Bacteria
Description: partial 16S ribosomal RNA
Rfam family: Bacterial small subunit ribosomal RNA
Source: RNAcentral